UGGGGAAUUUUGGACAAUGGGGGAAACCCUGAUCCAGCCAUCCCGCGUGUGCGAUGAAGGCCUUCGGGUUGUAAAGCACUUUUGGCAGGAAAGAAACGUCAUGGGUUAAUACCCCGUGAAACUGACGGUACCUGCAGAAUAAGCACCGGCUAACUACGUGCCAGCAGCCGCGGUAAUACGUAGGGUGCAAGCGUUAAUCGGAAUUACUGGGCGUAAAGCGUGCGCAGGCGGUUCGGAAAGAAAGAUGUGAAAUCCCAGAGCUCAACUUUGGAACUCCAUUUUUAACUACCGGGCUAGAGUGUGUCAGAGGGAGGUGGAAGUCCGCGUGUAGCAGUGAAAUGCGUAGAUAUGCGGUGGAACACCGAUGGCGAAGGCAGCCUCCUGAGAUAACUCUGACGCUCAUGCACGAAAGCGUGGGGAGCAAACAGG
RNAcentral lists this ribosomal RNA (429 nucleotides) under Acidobacteriota bacterium. Its description in RNAcentral is "Acidobacteria bacterium partial 16S ribosomal RNA". It matches the Rfam family "Bacterial small subunit ribosomal RNA", at positions 355 to 776 of the family's 1533-position model. The record is from RNAcentral. Lineage: Bacteria; Pseudomonadati; Acidobacteriota.